This 261-nucleotide ribosomal RNA is filed under the name uncultured bacterium. Its description in RNAcentral is "partial 16S ribosomal RNA". It matches the Rfam family "Bacterial small subunit ribosomal RNA", at positions 524 to 774 of the family's 1533-position model. The record is from RNAcentral.
UACGAAGGUGGCAAGCGUUUGUUGACGGGAAUCAUUGGGCGUAAAGGGCGCGUAGGCGGGUUUGUAAGUCGGUUCGUGAAAUCCCUGGGCUUAACCUGGGAAUUGCAUUCGAAACGUGCAAAUCUUGAGUUCUCGAGAGGAUGGUGGAAUUCCUGGGAGUAAGUAGUGAAAUACGUAGAUAUCAGGAGGAACACCGGAGGCGAAGGCGGCCAUCCGUGGCGAGACACUGACGCUAAGGCGACGAAGCGUGGGUAGCAAACA